UCGGAUCGUUUUAGAAACAUUCAGGGGCCAACAGUUUCAGGAUUGUUGAGCUCCGUUGGCGGGAUUUCGCCGUCUUCGUUUCUCUUUCUUCGCGGACGAACACGCGCCAGGGGCUGAGCGCUGUGCGGUGCACCGACUCCACGUCAGGUGCGCGCCGGCAUGUCUCUCGUGUUAGGGGCUUGUAGCUCAGUUGGUUAGAGCGCGCGCUUGAUAAGCGUGAGGUCGGAAGUUCAAGUCUUCCCAGGCCCACCAUUUUGAUCGAGUGCGGAGCAUUCGUCUUCUGGUACGGGGCCAUAGCUCAGCUGGGAGAGCGCGUGCUUUGCAAGCAUGAGGUCGUCGGUUCGAUCCCGUCUGGCUCCACCAGAUGGGAUUGAAGCUCGAGAAUGCGCCUUGUGCAGGAAGCUCUGUUCAAUAUCGUCCGCGAAACAUCACUUCGCACUCAUUGGUCCGGAUGGACGGUGACGUGCGUGUUUUCUGACAUCGUAAAGAGGAGAUCGAUCCGAGUUUGGAUCUGCGGAGUAAUUCGCGGGUACCAUUCCUAAUCUCCAGAUCGUUUUCGGCGCUCGCGCAUCGCGGCUCAUCGCAAGGUGAGUGAGGUGAGCGAGUUGUAAAACGAUCUUUGUAGCGAAGCUUGACCGCCUCGCUAUCGGGCCGAUCUUACGAAGCAAGCUGGUCUUUCUAGUCAAUGUCCGGCUGCGACAAUCGCAUCUUCGAGGGUGCGUGCCUUCAGUGGCAGUUGCGCAGACAACAUUCUGCCGAGUGUGUGGACAUUGAUAAUGAGAGCAAUCAAGUGCCUUAAGGGUGUUCGGUGGAUGCCUUGGCGCUGAGAGGCGAUGAAGGACGUGCUACGCUGCGAUAAGCCGUGGGGAGCUGCGAAGAAGCUUUGAUCCACGGAUUUCCGAUG
This 904-nucleotide unclassified non-coding RNA is filed under the name Bradyrhizobium sp. RNAcentral's name for it is "partial 16S-23S ribosomal RNA intergenic spacer". The stretch from base 785 to 904 matches the Rfam family "Bacterial large subunit ribosomal RNA", at positions 1 to 119 of the family's 2925-position model. The record is from RNAcentral. Lineage: Bacteria; Pseudomonadati; Pseudomonadota; Alphaproteobacteria; Hyphomicrobiales; Nitrobacteraceae.